RNAcentral lists this ribosomal RNA (239 nucleotides) under uncultured bacterium. Its description in RNAcentral is "partial 16S ribosomal RNA". It matches the Rfam family "Bacterial small subunit ribosomal RNA", at positions 1253 to 1500 of the family's 1533-position model. The record is from RNAcentral.
CCCAGCAAUGGGAUGCGAAUCUCGAAAGCCUGUCUCAGUUCGGAUUGGAAGCUGAAACCCGCCUCCAUGAAGUUGGAUUCGCUAGUAAUCGCGCAUCAGCCAUGGCGCGGUGAAUACGUUCCCGGGCCUUGUACACACCGCCCGUCAAGCCAUGGGAGCCGGGGGUGCCUGAAGUUCGUGACCGCAAGGAGCGACCUAGGGCAAAACUGGUGACUGGGGCUAAGUCGUAACAAGGUAAC